CGCUGGCUCCUCGGAGCAUCGUGCACGCCCGCCAUUUUUAUAUAUCCACCUGAUGCACCGAAUGUAGGUCUGGAUGACUCUCGCCUUCGGGCGGAUGCGAGGUUUGCGUUUCGCGUGCGAGCGCUCUCCUCGAAUUUCCAGGCUCUACGUCUCUUUACACACCCCAAACGUAUGAUGCAGAAUGUAGUCAAUGGGCCUUUACAAGCCUAUAAAACACUAUACAACUUUCAGCAACGGAUCUCUUGGCUCUCGCAUCGAUGAAGAACGCAGCGAAAUGCGAUAAGUAAUGUGAAUUGCAGAAUUCAGUGAAUCAUCGAAUCUUUGAACGCACCUUGCGCUCCUUGGUAUUCCGAGGAGCAUGCCUGUUUGAGUGUCAUUAAAUUCUCAACCUCACCGGUUUUCUGAACCGUUCUCCGAGGCUUGGAUGUGGGGGUUUGUGCAGGUCGCCUCAGCGCGGUCUGCUCCCCUGAAAUGCAUUAGCGAGAUUCAUUCUGGACCUCCGUCUAUCGGUGUGAUAAUUAUCUACGUCGUUGACUUGGUUCGGACUCGCUUCUAACCGUCCGCGAGGACAACAUACUUGACAAUUUGACCUCAAAUCAGGU
This 602-nucleotide ribosomal RNA is filed under the name Coprinellus sp. INBio3081K. RNAcentral describes it as "eukaryotic LSU rRNA". The stretch from base 223 to 376 matches the Rfam family "5.8S ribosomal RNA". The record is from RNAcentral. Lineage: Eukaryota; Fungi; Basidiomycota; Agaricomycetes; Agaricales; Psathyrellaceae.